RNAcentral lists this ribosomal RNA (223 nucleotides) under uncultured bacterium. RNAcentral's name for it is "partial 16S ribosomal RNA". It matches the Rfam family "Bacterial small subunit ribosomal RNA", at positions 110 to 334 of the family's 1533-position model. The record is from RNAcentral.
UAAACACAUCGGAACGUGCCCAGUCGUGGGGGAUAACGUAGCGAAAGCUACGCUAAUACCGCAUACGAACUCUGGUUGAAAGCGGGGGACCUGCAAGGGCCUCGCGCGAUUGGAGCGGCCGAUGGCAGAUUAGGUAGUUGGUGGGGUAAAGGCUCACCAAGCCGACGAUCUGUAGCUGGUCUGAGAGGACGACCAGCCACACUGGGACUGAGACACGGCCCAG